This 253-nucleotide ribosomal RNA is filed under the name uncultured bacterium. Its description in RNAcentral is "partial 16S ribosomal RNA". It matches the Rfam family "Bacterial small subunit ribosomal RNA", at positions 524 to 776 of the family's 1533-position model. The record is from RNAcentral.
UACGUAGGGAGCAAGCGUUGUCCGGAAUCAUUGGGCGUAAAGCGCGCGUAGGUGGCCUCGUAAGUCCGCUGUGAAAGUCAAAGGCUCAACCUUUGAAAGCCGGUGGAUACUGUGAGGCUAGAGUACGGAAGAGGCGAGUGGAAUUCCUGGUGUAGCGGUGGAAUGCGCAGAUAUCAGGAGGAACACCAAUAGCGAAGGCAGCUCGCUGGGACGUUACUGACACUGAGGCGCGAAAGCCAGGGGAGCAAACGGG